UUUGGCUCCUCAACGCAAGGUCCGUGAACCCCGUUAAGCCAUGUUUUAGGAUCUUACACACUCCCGAUGAGUAUGCAACAUUGUUUUAUUGUUCUUGUUCAUUGCUUAGUACUAAGGUUAAGAAAAAUUAAACACACAAUUUUUCCAGGUGAUGUUUUCUCAUUAAGAUAGUGAGUUAUACAGAAAUUACAUAAUACAAACCUUAAUAUACAAGGUUUAAUUGAGUUGACCGGUUUGACUCGUUGACUUUGUCCGGCUUAGACUUGACCCGAAUUUGACUAUUUUCACAUCAUCCCCCCGUUAGAGGGAAUUUCGUCCCGAAAUUUACACUUUGGCCGGGACUUCAAGAGUUUAGGAAAAGAUGUGUNAAUUUACGCUUUGGCCGGGACUUCAAGAGUUUGGGAAAAGAUGCGGGUACUUUUGUUUCAUUUGGUCUUCGCGCUCCUAGGUGAACUUAGGUCCUCGUUUAGCGUUCCAUUGAACCUUCACGAUGGGAAUACGACUUUGUUUCGUUCUUUUGACCUCCCGAUCCAUAAUCUCAACUGGCUCCUCUACGAAGUGGAGAUUUUCGUUAACUUCGAUGUCGUCGAGAGGUAUUACAAGUGUCUCGUCAGACAGAUACUUCUUUAAGUUGGAUACGUGAAAUGUGGGGUGUAUGUUAUUAAGUUCUUGAGGUAAUCGGAGUUUGUACGCCACAGGACCAAUCCUGGCAAGGAUUUCGAACGGUCCGAUUUACCUCGGGUUUAGUUUCCCAUGUUUACCGAAACAUAUCAUUCCUUUCCAAGGGGAAACUUUUAGUAAUACUCGAUCUCUGACCUGAAAUUCUAAGGGUUUGCGUCUCUUGUCUGCGUAACUCUUUUGUCGAUCAUGAGACGUCUUCAUUCUUUCCCGAAUUUGAACAAUCUUUUCUGUGGUCUCCCUUAUGAUUUCAAGACCAGUAAGGGUGCUAUUAGGGACUUGCCCCCUAGCUAGCUGAGUAUCCCCCACUUCGGCCCAACACAGGGGUGAUCUGCACUUGCGACCAUAGAGAGCUUCGAAUGGAGCGAAUUUAAUGCUGGUGUAAUAGUUGUUAUUGUAGGAGAAUUAGAUCAGCGGCAAAUGGGUAUCCCAUGCUUUACCAAAAUCUAUCACACAGGCUCUCAACAUGUCUUCUAAUGUUUGUAUAGUGCGCUUGCUUUGCCCGUCGGUUUGUGGAUGGUAGGUCGUACUCAUGUCUAGCCUAGUUCCCAAGGAUUUCUGCAGGGACUGCCAAAAUCGCGAAGUGAAUCUACUAUCUCGGUCAGAGAUAAUGGAUAUUGGUACACCAUGUAGUCGCACAAUCUCGUUGAUGUAUGUCCUGGUUAACUUCUCCAUCUUGUUGGUUUCCUUUAUUGGCAGGAAGUGCGCAGACUUGGUCAAUCUGUCCACGAUUACCCAUAUAGUGUCAAACCCGCCUGAAGUCUUAGGAAGCUUGGUUACACGGUCCAUGGUUAUCUGUUCCCACUUCCAUUUCGGUAUAUCAGGUUAUUGUAGUAGUCCCGAGGGUUUCUGGUAUUCCACCUUGACCUUGGCGCAAGUCAGACACUUGCUCACAUAAGUAGCAAUCUCGACUUUCAUAUUCGGCCACCAAUAUAACUUUUUGAGGUCUAGAUACAUCUUGUCUGACCCUGGAUGGAUGGAGUAUCGAGUCUUGUGUGCUUCAUUCAUGACCACGUCUCGGAACCUGCCGAACUUCGGGGUCCAUAUUCGGUUCAUGAGAUGACGAGUUCCAUCAUCCUUGACUUCUAAGUUUUUAUCCAUUCCCCUUAAUGCCUCACCUGCCACAUUCUCUGGUUUCAAGGCUUCUAGUUGGGCUUCCCUGAUUUGCGUGGCCAGGUGUGAAUGGAUAGUCAUUGUUAAGGAUCUUACUCGGCGGCCCGAGUAUUCCUUCCUACUUAGGGCAUCAGCCACUACAUUGGCCUUGCCCGGGUGGUAGUGAAUUUCGCACUCGUAGUCAUUCAACAGUUCAAACCAUCUUCGUUGCCACAUGUUGAGCUCUUUUUGAUUGAGGAUAUGCUGAAGACUUUUGUGAUCGGUGAAGAUGGUACAUUUUGUGUCGUAGAGGUAGUGCCUCCAGAUCUUUAAAGCGAACACUACCGAUCCCAGUUCAAGGUCAUGGGUAGUGUAAUUAACUUCGUGUGUAUUAAGUUGCCUUGACGCGUAGGCGAUGACUUUCCAUCUCUGCAUGAGCACGCAUUCGAGGCCUUGAUUUGAAGCAUCGCAAUAUACCACGAAGUCAUCAGUUCCUUCCGGAAGAGACAAGAUUGGCGCGCUGCAUAGAGCUUGCUUUAGUGUCUGGAAGGCGGCUUCUUGUUUAUCUUCCCAUUUGAACAUCAUGCCUUUCUGAGUCAGGGUGGUGAGGGGCUUAGCAAUCUUGGAGAAGUUCUGUAUAAAUCUUCGGUAGUAGCCCGCGAGUCCUAAAAAUUGUCGGAUUUCCGUUGGUGUUGUGGGUGCUGCCAAAUUUUCAAUCGCCUUGAUCUUUGAGGGAUCCACAUGUAUUCCUUUCUUGCUUACCACGUGGCCAAGGAAUCCCACUUCACGGAGCCAAAAUUCACACUUUGAAAACUUGGCGUAAAGCUUCUCGGAUCUUAGCGUCUCCAAUAUUAGUCUCAGGUGUCGCCUGUGUUCUUCUUCGUUUCUUGAAUAAACCAAGAUAUCAUCGAUGAAUACGAUCACAAAUUUAUCCAAGAAGGGUCGACACACUCGGUUCAUCAUAUCCAUGAACAACGCAGGCGCGUUUGUUAACCCGAAUGGCAUCACUACAAAUUCGUAGUGUCCAUAGCGAGUUCUGAAUGCCGUCUUGGGGAUAUCUUCUUCUUGAACUCGCAAUUGAUGGUAACCCGACCUCAAGCCGAUUUUUGAAAAGUAGCUCGCUCCCUGAAGUUGGUCAAAAAGGUCAUCGAUUCGGGGUAGGGGAUAUCGAUUUUUGAUGGUAAGUUUGUUUAACUCCCUAUAAUCGAUGCACAUACAAAAGGAUCCAUCCUUCUUGUUCACAAAUAGAAAUGGUGCUCCCCAGGGUGAAAAGCUCGGUCUGACGAAUACCUUGUUUAAUAGCUCGCUCAAUUGUUGCAUUUCUGCCGGUGCGAGGCGAUAUGGUGCUUUGGCUACAGGGGUAGCACUGGGAACCAAGUCGAUUCGGAAUUUGACUUUUCGUGCGAGCGGUACACCUGGCAGAUCUUCUGGGAAUACGUCGGGGAAGUUGCACACUUCCGGAAUGUCUUUGAUGUCCUUUACCCCUUGAUUCUUAUCUACGACGUGAGCUAAGAAGACGUGGUAUUCCUUUCGGAGAUACUUUCGGGCUUUGACACAAGAGAUGAUUUGUAGGUUUGCACUAGGUUUGUUGCCAUAAACGGUGAGGGUGUUGCCAUUCGGCUGAUUGAGGCGGACGGACCUUUCGUAACAUAAAAUGUCGGCACGAUUAGGACCCAACCAAUCCAUACCAAUGAUGACGUCGAAACUUUUUAUUGUGACUGCCAUUAGAUCGAUUUUGAACAAAUGGUUGUCUAAAGUGAGGGUACACCCUAUGUAAAUAUCGUUAGCGCGCUCAACCUUUCCGUUUGCCAUUUCUACGACGUAUGAAUCUUUUAAUGACUGGGAAUUUUGCCUAAGUAAAUGUUUGAAUUGGUGGCUUACGAAACUUCUUUCUGCCCCACUAUCGAAAAGUACGCAUGCAUAAGAGUUAUUGAGGAGGAACGUACCGGUAACCACCGAGGGGUCCUUGACUGCUUCUCCGUGUCCCAUCGUCAGGACUCUCCCUACACCAUCGGCAUUAGUGUUUCGUGCUUUUGGGCAGUUUCUUUUGAAGUGCCCUGCCUCUCCACAGCCGUAACAGGCUUGGCUUGCCCCGGUGCUGGCGACAGGGGUGGCUUGAGUGGUGUUUUGGGUCGACCCUUUACAGAAUCGUGCAGUGUGCCCCUUCUUUUUGCAGUUAUUGCAGUGUAAUUCCCGACAGACACCAUUGUGGUGGAAGCCACAUUUGUCGCACUUAGGGAGUGUCCCGACAUAUUGCUUCCUUGGGGCCGGAGUGGAUGGAGUAGUAGCAGCAUGGAUCGCGACAAUUUGCUAUUUCUGGGAGGAUCCUGGUGUCGACUGUUUCUUCUUGUUACUUUAGAACUUUCUUUUAUUGUUAUCUCCUUUUGUUUGACAGGGGUGGCGAUCACGGUACCACGACUGGCCUUGUGAUCGAUGAGUUGCUGUGCCAAUUCCUUGGCACUCUCAAAGGUAGUAGGUUUCGAGGCCAGUACACUAUCAUGAAUUUGGGAUGAUAGCCCCCAAAGGUAUCGUUCUACCUUUUUCUCCUCCGGAGUGACCAUUGUGGGACAGAGGAGUGCUAAGUCAUUGAAUCAGGCAGUAUAAGCUUCGAGAUCCGUCCCCGACAUCUUGAGGUUCCAGAAUUCUUCCUCCAGUUUCUGCACUUCGCCUCUUGGGCAAUAUUCCUUCAGCAUUAAAGCUUUUAAAUCCUCCCAGCUUAUAGAGUUAGCCACUGCAGGAGUAAGCGACUUAACUCUGCCGUUCCACCAAGUUAGAGCUCUUCCAAUGAAAGUGANCUCGCUUCGGGGAAAGCACAAAUCUCGAAGACUGAUUCAGUUCUCUCGAACCAUUGCAUUAGUGCGAUGACGCCCCCGCUUCCAUUAAAAGAAUCGGGUUUGCCAUUUGUGAAGUCCUUAUAAGUGCAUUCCUUUGUGCGCCCCGAACUGUCACCCUGAUUAGAGGGUGUAGCACCAGAUCCGGAUCCCCCAUUACCGUUAGGGAUGAUUUGUGACAUAGCUGCUGCCACAGCUGCCGUUACUGCAGCCUGGAACAUUGCUGGAUCAAAUUGUGGUGGCGGCGGAGGAGGUGGUGCUGUGCUACCGGAAGGUCUUGGUCUUUUCCUUGGUGGCAUAGUUCUGUCAUAAUUAUAAAAUGACAAGUCGGUAAGACCUCAAUAGUAAUAACGAGUCGAGUGGUACUGGUUUCAUCUCAAUUGUAUUUUGUCCCAAGUUUAUUACUUUAGAAGGUAAUUCAUCGAAAAGUUUAUGCAAUUAAACUUAUGAAUUUAAUAGUGUUGACCCAAACAGAGUCAUGUGUUCGUUUAUGUGAACAUUCUAGAAAGCAAAAUACAUGCCAAAUCCAUUGAUAACUUGCUAGUACAUAUUGUUUUUGAAAAAUUUUGACCUCACAAGGGUCUACAAUACAUCAUAAUAAAGAUAGAGUUUCGGUAGUACAAAAGCCCCUUUAACUAGUGUGAUCACUUAGUCGCAAGGUCAGCCUAUUCGCACUAAAGAGUAGCACCAACGCAUACUCGAAAUCCUAGAUUUAUACCAAAACAUGAGUAGUGCGAACACUACUUGCAGUGGGUGGUAUCCGGUACAUGGUGGCCCUGGGAUGAGGUCGAAGCUCCCUGAAGCUCCGCGAUCCGGCGUUCGGCCACGAUCACCCUCUCCUCGAGAGCUGCGUGCCUCUCCUGGUACUCUCUUACCUCCGCUCGAGCAGCGGUAAGGUCCUCGAUGAGUUGGUCCACUGGAUAGAAGUCCCUCUCCAAAUCCCGGGUGCGUGCAUCGGUGGCUGCUGUAAUAGCGCUGAGGUUUCGAACCUGGUCUGCCACUUCCCUACUCCGAUUCCCCAAGUUCGUGAUGUGUUGGAGCAUAACAGGGAGAGCUCUGUCAGCUGGUCCUCCGUGGCUGAGGUCAUAGUAACCUCGUUGGUCGCCAUAGGGUGACCUCUGGCGUUGUUGCCGGCUCCACCUCUCGAGCAUGGUUGCCCAAUGGGGCUCAGGCCCGUUGUGCCCCCAGCGGUUUGCAGGUACCCUCGCGAUGUAAGGAGGGUUGAAGACUUCCUCCUUUGGCUCUUCUUCACCUUCGUCCUCAUCCAUGUCCACCUCGUCUUCUUCUUCUUCUUCGUCUACCUCCUCUUCUUCUUCUUCGGGUUCUUCUUCGGGAUCUUCUUCGGGAUCCUCUUCAAUCAGCUCUUCGGGCUCUUCCUCAAUCCAGCCGGCAUUUCCCUGGUUGGGAAAGUAUGGGUCUCCUGGUAAAUGGAAUCCUGCCAUGUCGUCUGCGCGAGAAUAGGGGUGUAAGAAGCAGAUAGUGGUUAAUAAUAAUAAUAUUGCGAUAUAGCAACACACAAAUAAUCCUAUAGUAUUUUAAAUGUUUAGAUUUGGUUCUUAGGGCACUCUUUGUAGGGUGAAGUUAGGUUAUCAGAUUUGUUGCCCUCUACGACUAUCCCCCAAUAUGAGUAACUCACUUCUUGGACAAAUAUAGUUGAUCAGGCUAUAUCUUUCCCAGAACUGAUUACUCAUAACAGGGUAUACUCGUAGCGUUCAACUCCUCUUCUUUUUAGUUUAUUUUCUUCUAGUUAUGACACUACGCAAGUAUGUAAUGCAUGUAGGUAUACUUUUAAACAAGAACUAUUCGUUUUCUAAAAGUAUAACCUGAUAGGAUGUUUUAAAAUCAGAGACUCUUAGUCCCAAAUGUGUUUAUAGUUUGUAUAUCCUAUGUUGUUUGAUAUACUUAAUUCACUAUAAACCGUGCUCUGAUACCAAUCUGUCACACCCCCAAACCAAGGAUGGCGGAAACGUCCGGGGGUGGAGGACUUCAUGUAUAGUAUCAUAACAACAAAUGCAAUAGUGAUUUAAGCAAACACAACCAACAUAUAUAUAAUUGAAAAAGUUACAUCAUUGUAUGAAUUACAUGUUUCAAAAUCAAUUACAAUAUGUUGACAAAAUAUGAAAUGUUUGACGCCUUAACGUCCCAUCCUCAAAAUGCUCUUGAUUUCCUGUUUAGUGAUUUCCUGAGAAUACAAGUUGUUUGAAAAAGUGUCAACACAAAGGUUGGUGAGUUCAUAAGCUUUUGACAGUGAGAGUUUGAAAAUCGAUCCUUGUAAAGAGAUGUAUGUUACCAAGAAAAAUCCAAUAUUUUCCUUAUAAAAGUCAUGUAGUCCUAAAUACCAGGACCGAAAUGAAUGAUGUGUGGUCUUAAAUACCAAGACUGAAAAUAUACCAUAAUAUCUGUAAUUAUUGAUAUAAAAAUUGAUUUUAAAUUUACAUAAAACCCCUUUUGAUUUAUGCAAAUCCCUGUAAACUUAUGUUGUUAGAUCCCUAUGUGAGCCGCUAUAAUCAUACUAAUGACUGAAUACACUUGCCACGAUGUUUCUCAGGCGUCGCGAAACUAAAAUGACACUUGUCACCCGCAGACCUGCAGGUCUGACUGUAGCUAGCAGCGAGGUGUGGGGUGUCAAACCCAAUAUAGAUCUAUACACAACUAUCACGUUCUCCCUCCAGGAGACUCUGAUUAUAACUAGCAGGAAUUAGAUUCCGCACUCGGAUGUAUGAAAGAGAAUGUCUCACAAUUUAGGUUAACAAGUUUACGUGUGGUAUGCAUAAGUGUAAAGCCUUUUUCCUGAGGGAAUAAAACCUUCCGAAAUGUGUUUGUUGUGUUAAUGGAAACAUAAACCAUACCUAUUAUAGUUUAUCAAAACAAGGGUAGAAAUAGUAAAGUACACAAACUAUACUUAACAUAGUUUAAUAAUACAUUUGUAUGUAAUGGGUGUACUUUAAUUAUAACACUUGGUUAUUUCUAUGUAUUAUCUAGUGAAAAUUCAUUUGUUAACUGGUGUACAUCUAGAUAUGAGUACAAAAAUGUCACAUACUACAAUAACACAUAAUCACAUAAUGAUAUAUACCUUGCUCAACAUGUUACAAGGUGAAAUGAAAUUUAUAGUGUUUUUCUAUUUAUAACAUUUUUUGUAUCUGUUAUUGGAAAAUUUGUAGAAAAAAUCAUAAAAUGUCCAAAUCAAGUUCUGUAACUUCUGAGAGUUUGGAAAAUGAGUCUAGCUGGUUCAUAAAAUUUUCCAAAAUUUUUAGGGACCUCUAACUUGUGUGACUAAGUCUAUAAUCACAGACUGGUCCGGAUUGGUGUUUGAGAUGAUAGGCAGUUUUGUAAAAAUCACCAUAAAUUGUAGAAAAAUCGUAUGGAGAUGUGCAAGUAGUCAUUUUAAAGCUAAGAACUGGAACUACUUACACCUAAAACAGUUUUGUAAACAAAAAUGUUUAAGUUGUCCAAAACAGUCUGUGAAUGGGGUCCAACUUUUCUGAUGAAGGCUGUUAGAAACGUUUAGCUUUGUUCUUAUUGUUUUACUUGUAUUCUCCCCCUAAAAACUUGAGAAAACAUGAAAAUGUAGGGGUAUGAACUCACCUUAAGUGAUUUCAGUAGAUGAUUGUUGAAGAAUGGAAGUGUUUCACUCAAGAACACUUGGAGAUGCCUUGAAGAUUUUCGAGAAUCUAGCAUCAUAGUUAUGGAGUUUGUGUAAGCAAUCAAUGAUUUGAGUAGAAUGAAGUGCAAUAAUCACAAGGAGGAUGAAUUAUACUUACCAAGAGUGGAAGAACACUUGAUGAUCAGCCUUGGGAUCUUGAAUUAGAGAGAAAAGUUUGAGGGAAAAGUUGGAGUUGGAUCUUUGGUGAAAUGAGAGUAAUUGAAAGAAAGUGAGGAGAGAGGUUGAGUGACCAGCCCUAAAAACGUGGGGAUGGCUUGUGAGAGGGGUAAAAGUACAAGGAAGUGACAAGGUAUGGUGGGGAGGAGUGUGGGUUAGGCAUGGAGUGGGUAUGGGGUUGCUUGUGUCAUAAAAUAAGGUAAAGUCAACACUCUACCUUUGUACUUCACCUACUCUCUUUUGGAUAAGGUUUUAUCCUUAAAACGUGAUUAUUCAUUACUUAAGGGGUCUUAUAUGUUAAAAUAAAGUUUUGGGUGAAAAUCCCGUGUUAAAACAAUUAAAAACGGGCCUAAAACGCAACAUUAGUCGAAAACCGGGAGAAAAGAGGCUUCCCAGCGAGACCUCUCGGUCCUGGCCGAGGUUCGGUCCUCCUGAGGCUGGGUUCGGUCCCUGAUGCUGCUAGGCGCCAAGCGAAGGGGGCGAGGGCUCGGUGUUCUCAGAAGCGAAGGCUCAGUCUUCAGAAGAGAAAGUGAUCAGACCCGAAACCGAAGGUUCNNNNNNNNNNNNNNNNNNNNNNNNNNNNNNNNNNNNNNNNNNNNNNNNNNNNNNNNNNNNNNNNNNNNNNNNNNNNNNNNNNNNNNNNNNNNNNNNNNNNNNNNNNNNNNNNNNNNNNNNNNNNNNNNNNNNNNNNNCUCAGAAGGGUUCGGUUCCUAAGAGGGGUUUCGGGUCCUAAGAGGGGUUUCGGCUCCUUAAGUCCGUUUUUCGCGUAGACUUCCGUUUUUGGGCUGUUUUCGCCAAAUUCGAGGGUCGGGAUGCCCUGAGUGAUUAUAGAAAGUUGAGAGAGAUUUUGAGAGAGAUUUGAGAGAGAUUCCACAUACUUAGAGAGAUUUGGGAGAGAUUUGACAUUCUUGGAGAGAUUUCUCAUACAAAGAGAUAUUUGGGAGAGAUUUCACAUACUUAGAGAGAUUUGGGAGAGAUUUGACAUUCUUGGAGAGAUUUCUCAUACAAAGAGAUAUUUGGGAGAGAUUUCACAUACUUAGAGAGAUUUGGGAGAGAUUUGACGUUCUUGGAGAGAUUUCUCAUACAAAGAGAUAUUUGGGAGAGAUUUCACAUACUUAGAGAGAUUUGGGAGAGAAUUGACAUUCUUGGAGAGAUUUCUCAUACAAAGUGAUAUUUGGGAGAGAUUUCACAUACUUAGAGAGAUUUGGGAGAGAUUUGACAAUAGAGAGAGAUAGAGUGAAAACGACUAAGAGGGUUUCAUGUGUGACAAUAGUGAGUGUUUGGCUCCUCAACGCAAGGUCUGUGAACCCCGUUAAGCUAUGUUUUAGGAUCUUACACACUCCCGAUGAGUAUGCAAUAUUGUUUUAUUGUUCUUGUUCAUUGCUUAGUACUAAGGUUAAGAAAAAUUAAAAACACAAUUUUUCCAGGUGAUGUUUUCUCAUUAAGAUAGUGGGUUAUACAGAAAUUACAUAAUACAAACCCUAAUAUACAAGGUUUAAUUGAGUUGACCGGUUUGACUCGUUGACUUUGUCCGACUUAGACUUGACCCGAAUUUGACUAUUGUCACAGGAUAACACUAAUAGCAUCAACUAAAUCAGGCAUUGCCUCAUCUUCAAUUUUUUCUAAAUCAGGUUCAGGGAAUUGUUCUGCAAAAAGUAACAUCAUAUGAAUAAGGUACCAAUUUGGGGUUUGUGUCAAGGACUUUAGUCCUAAAGGCAACGCCUUCCAAGGACAUGGGAAC
This 10162-nucleotide long non-coding RNA is filed under the name Lactuca sativa (garden lettuce). RNAcentral describes it as "long non-coding RNA (LSAT_LNC004184)". The record is from RNAcentral. Lineage: Eukaryota; Viridiplantae; Streptophyta; Magnoliopsida; Asterales; Asteraceae.